This 721-nucleotide ribosomal RNA is filed under the name uncultured eukaryote. RNAcentral describes it as "bacterial SSU rRNA". It matches the Rfam family "Eukaryotic small subunit ribosomal RNA", at positions 673 to 1426 of the family's 1831-position model. The record is from RNAcentral.
GAAUAUUCAUCAUGUAUGCUUUUCUAAUUAUAAGGGGGUGGGGGAUGAAGAGGAAACUUUUCGAGCCACACACCGGAAUUUACUUUGAGGAAAUUAAAGUGUUCAUAGCAAAUAAGUGUUUGAAUACUACAGCAUGGAAUAACAAAUAGGACUUUGGUAUGUUUUGUUGAGUAGAGAAACCAAAGUAAAGAUGAAUAGGGACAGUUGGGGGCAUUGGAAUUUGAUAGUCAGAGGUGAAAUUCAUGGAUUUAUCAAAGACCAACAAAGGCGAAAGCAUUUGCCAAGGAUGUUUUCAUUGAUCAAGAACGAAAGUCAGGGGAUCGAAGACGAUUAGAUACCGUCGUAGUCUUGACCGUAAACGAUGCCGACUUGGGGGAGGUGCGAGAUGAGAAGCGGAUCUCAACCAAAGGAGAAAUCAAAGUGUAUGGGUUCUGGGGGGAGUAUAGUCGCAAGGCCGAAACUUGAAGGAAUUGACGGAAGGGCACCACCAGGAGUGGAGCCUGCGGCUUAAUUUGACUCAACACGGGAAAACUUACCAGGUCCGGACAUGAUGAGGAUUGACAGAUUGAGAGCACUUUUAAGAUUUCAUGGGAGGUGGUGCAUGGCCGUUCUUAGUUGGUGGAGUGAUUUGUCAGGUUAAUUCCGAUAACGAGCGAGACCCUGUGAUGACGGUAAUGAUUGAGUAUGUAAAUACGCGAGACGUUUCUUCAUCGACACCCCA